GACGAACGCUGGCGGCGUGCUUAACACAUGCAAGUCGAACGGUAAGGCCCUUCGGGGUACACGAGUGGCGAACGGGUGAGUAACACGUGGGUGAUCUGCCCUGCACUUCGGGAUAAGCCUGGGAAACUGGGUCUAAUACCGGAUAGGACCACUGCCUGCAUGGGUGGUGGUGGAAAGCUUUUGCGGUGUGGGAUGGGCCCGCGGCCUAUCAGCUUGUUGGUGGGGUGAUGGCCUACCAAGGCGACGACGGGUAGCCGGCCUGAGAGGGUGACCGGCCGCACUGGGACUGGGAUACGGCCCAGACUCCUACGGGAGGCAGCAGUGGGGAAUAUUGCACAAUGGGCGCAAGCCUGAUGCAGCGACGCCGCGUGAGGGAUGACGGCCUUCGGGUUGUAAACCUCUUUCAGCACCGACGAAGCGCAAGUGACGGUAGGUGCAGAAGAAGGACCGGCCAACUACGUGCCAGCAGCCGCCGCUG
RNAcentral lists this ribosomal RNA (478 nucleotides) under uncultured bacterium. RNAcentral describes it as "partial 16S ribosomal RNA". It matches the Rfam family "Bacterial small subunit ribosomal RNA", at positions 28 to 523 of the family's 1533-position model. The record is from RNAcentral.